This 425-nucleotide ribosomal RNA is filed under the name uncultured bacterium. RNAcentral describes it as "partial 16S ribosomal RNA". It matches the Rfam family "Bacterial small subunit ribosomal RNA", at positions 354 to 796 of the family's 1533-position model. The record is from RNAcentral.
GUUAGGAAUAUUGGACAAUGGGCGCAUGCCUGAUCCAGCCAUGCCGCGUGAGUGAUGAAGGCCUUCGGGUUGUAAAGCUCUUUAGCCGAUGAUUAUAAUGACUGUAGUCGGAAAAUAAGCCCCGGCUAACUUCGUGCCAGCAGCCGCGGUAAUACGAAGGGGGCGAGCGUUAUUCGGAAUCACUGGGCGUAAAGCGUGCGUAGGCGGCUUUGCAAGUUGGGAGUGAAAGCCCAGGGCUCAACCCUGGAAUUGCUCUCAAAACUGCAAGGCUCGAAUUCGGGAGAGGAUAGCGGAAUUGUCAGUGUAGCAGUGAAAUGCGUAGAUAUUGACAGGAACACCAGUGGCGUAAGCGGCUAUCUGGACCGAUAUUGACGCUGAGGCACGAAAGCGUGGGGAUCAAACAGGAUUAGAUACCCUAGUAGUCC